Molecule: ribosomal RNA, 407 nt
Filed under: uncultured bacterium
Lineage: Bacteria
Description: partial 16S ribosomal RNA
Rfam family: Bacterial small subunit ribosomal RNA
Source: RNAcentral
AUUGAACGCUGGCGGCAGGCCUAACACAUGCAAGUCGAGCGGAGCGGCGGACGGGUGGGUAAUUCCUAGGAAUCUGCCUGGUAGUGGGGGAUAACGUACGGAAACGGGCGCUAAUACAGCAUACUAUCAGGUUGGCCGAGGUCGGAUUAGCUAGUUGGUGGGGUAAAGGCCUACCAAGCCGACGAUCCGUAACUGGUCUGCGAGGAUGAUCAGUCACACUGGAACUGAGACACGGUCCAGACGCCUACGGGAGGCAGCAGUGGGGAAUAUUGGACAAUGGGCGAAAGCCUGAUCCAGCCAUGCCGCGUGUGUGAAGAAGGUCUUCGGAUUGUAAAGCACUUUAAGUUGGGAGGCGUUACCAACAGAAUAAGCACCGGCUAACUUCGUGCCAGCAGCCGCGGUAAUAC